UCAGACAUGGUGUAGUGGGAACACAGCCUUUUAUUCCAGAUGAGAAGUAUAUCUCAGAGGCGGUCCAGGGUUGAAUCCCUUGUGUCUGAA
Mycena vulgaris is the source of this 90-nucleotide non-coding RNA. The record is from the annotation of a GenBank genome assembly. Lineage: Eukaryota; Fungi; Basidiomycota; Agaricomycetes; Agaricales; Mycenaceae.